This 43847-nucleotide long non-coding RNA is filed under the name Malus domestica (apple). RNAcentral's name for it is "long non-coding RNA (MDOM_LNC008783)". Lineage: Eukaryota; Viridiplantae; Streptophyta; Magnoliopsida; Rosales; Rosaceae. The record is from RNAcentral.
CAAGUACAAUUGCUCACAUCUCUUUACCAGCAACUUUAUACCUCGGUCGAAUUGAUUUCUCCUGGUGAGCUUCAGUUUUAGCAUGUUAGAGGAGGUUCCGUACGUGUCAGGAUACUCCCAACAAUCACCGAUAAGUAUGUUGUAUCUUUCCAACUUAUCGGAGAACAAGUUCGGUGGAAGAAGGUCAGCAUCUGGAACAUGUAUGUCUAAUGCAGUUAGUUCAGCCAAGUGCUUCAGCUCUGAAACAGUAGCAUUACUUCCUCCGCUAAUGGGACCUUCACCCUCCCAUUGCUUAAAGCUUUUUAUUCCCAUCCUCAAGUCUUCUAGUCUUGUCAAGCUUGAUAUAACACCAGGUGAGAUCAUAACAAGUUCAGAGCAACCGGUCAAAUCCAAUAAUUGUAGGCUAGUCAAUUGCCCUAUUUCUUUGGGCAACUCUUUAAUCUUGGACUCAAGGAAGCUAAGAAUUUUCAAGUUUGUUAGCUGUCCAACAAGAGUUAUGUCUACCAACUCGCAUUGAUCUAAGCACAAUGUGUGGAGAUGCUUUAGGGAUUGAAGAGAUGGAGGUAGUGACUGAAUAUUGAAUCUGGUUACAUCCAACACUUUGAGUUCUUUCAUCCCUUCAAAAAAAUUGCUUGGGAUUUCCUGGGAGUCCCCAAUAUGAUUAUUAUCCAAGCGCAGCAAUUUUAAUUCUGGGCAUUCCCAAGGUACUUCAGGAAGCCUGGGGAUCUUGCACAUUAUUAAGGACAUCCUUGUGCAUUUUUCAAGGAAAUCCUCAGUUGGCCAUUGUUUCACCUCAUCUUCAUAUGCUCUUGAAAAGGCUUUUUGAUCAUCAGUUGCAAUCCGGACAGCAACAUCUCGUACAAGUUCAUGCAUUCUAACAGUGUCAUCGUCAUAGCUGUCCUGCAAUAGGCAAGAAUUUUUUAAUUUUUUAACCAUUACAUUCAAUGAAGUCCAUGCCUCUUCCACUGUCUCAACAUUUUUUAUCAAACCCAAACCCAUACUAUACUUCAACAAGUCACUGAGAUAAUUGCAGCUACUCCCACAAAGCAAGAACAAUUGCUUAAGCUCUUGAUCCUCCAAUUGUUCGUAACUCCACUUUAGAGCCAAGAAUGCUUUUUCAUUCAACUCUUUCUUGUCAAAUCUUUUGAAACUUCUCAACGCAACUUUCCAUUCAUCCAAACUACUAUCCCUUAAAGCCCUUGCAACUGCAACAACCAAAACUGGCAAACCUCCACAUUUCUUUGCUAGCUGGGUUGCUUCCUUCAGUAUACGGUUGUCUUUAACAUCACCUGCCAUCUUCUCAAACAAAUUCCAACUUUCCUGUUCUGUUAAAAAUCCAAGUUGAAAUUCUUUUUGCGUACGCAUAUCAGAGCGUAUAACUUUUAUUUCUCUAGAUGUCAACAAUAGCUUACAGUUCGGCACACCGAUGAGUCCCACAGCCUCAAAGUCAGUUCUUUCCAAAACAUCAUCUAAAAUGACAAGAGUCUUCCCAUCUUUUAUCCUGGCUCGUAGGAGAUUCGCCCUUGUUCCCACAUCCUCAGAUUCAUCAACAUCCAUCCUCAACUUUUUGGCAAUUUCUUUUUGAAAUUUUUCGUUGUCGUUUUUUUCUUUGACAUUUAGUAUUAUAACCACAUCAUCAAAUAACUUCUCUUCCAGAGCUUCUCUGUAAACCUCUUUGGCAAGUGUUGUCUUCCCAACGCCCCCUAAUCCGUACACACCAAUCCUGUUGAUAUCAGGUUUUUUCAAUUCCGUAAUGAUAUCCUUCACCAUUGAAAUCCUUGAUUCAAAGGCCAUGUACUCGUCGGAGGCUAUGGCAGAUAUAUCUUCUACGGCAGCAUUGUAAGAAAUACUGGCAUACUCUUUUUUUUUAUUUACAUGUUCUUCAAUCUUUUCCAUCAGUUUUGUUGACUUCCUGCUACGCUGAUGAUAGGAUAUCAGAUUAGGACAUAUAAUGAGACACAUUGUCUUUGCACGGCCUUCAUCAUGCAAGAGUGCUUUUGCCUCCAGAGUGGUCUUCUCCGCAUCUGACUGCCAUUUCUGGACAUCAGCUUCCACUUUUUGAUCAACUUUUCUUCUGACUUCAUCAACUUCAUGCUUCAUCCUUUCUUUGACAGAAUCAAAAUUCUCCAAUUUAUUCUUUAGAUCGUUAAGGUUGCUUUUAUAGAAAAUGAUAUAACCCACUUGGCGUGCAACUGGUCUAAUUGUGUAGUCAAUUAUUGUAGGAAUACUUGCAGUGAGUAUCUCCAUCGGCAUGGCACCUUCAGCUUACCAAUUCGUCUGCUUCUCCGAUCUGUUGAAUAUAUACGAAUCCAAAAUAUAAAAAAUUCAAGAUACGAGAAAGAAAUCCUUAUUUUUAAAGCAGAUGAAUUAAAGAAUGAAACAAUAGGUCAUACCUUAGCUCGUGAUCGAGACUACGCUUGAAGAAAAACAGAGCAGUAUGCAAAUGUUUUUGUUUUCUUUUGCAUCUUUUGGAGAAAUCUACAUAGUAAAAGCAAAAACAAGGUUAUAUCACACUUGCAAAUAGACGUCGAGACCAUGAACAAGUUUUCACAUACAACUUUUUAUACUAAAAAAACUUGGUUGGUACAGAACUUAGGUAACUGUUUUCAAAUCUUAAAAACUACGAAAAACGUAUAUAAUCUGCUUUGAAUUUCACUGAGGCAUUUUAACAAACAUCAUAUCUGCACGCUUAAAGCUGGUGCAUGAGGCAGAGAACGAAAUGUAGAACAAUUUAUUGAAGUGCGUACCACAGGGCUACUGAUCUAGAUGGUACGAUGGAGUUGACCCCCGAUUCUCAGGAGCUGAGCGUGUUAACUCUGCCAAGACUCGACGAGUUCCAGAGGCUCAUUUCUAGUUGAUCUAGUUUACGAAAGAAAUCUGAGGCCAACAACUGCGAAAUCCAGGCAGUCAUGAGCUCGAGCAACGCGAGGUUAGGAACAGAGACAACCUCGCUCUGAAGGGUCGAGCAGAGCUAGGAGGCUGCCGAGUGUCUGCAAUGGCAGCCAUGGUGAUUGGUCCUAGACGAAGGGAGAUGGAGGAAAAGGGUGAAAAAGUUGCAGGGAGGAAGAAAGGGUGUGUUUGGUUGUGUGUUUAAAAGGUGUUUUGUUUGAUAGUAAUAUCUUUGUGAUGUAUAAGAUAAUGGCAGUGUUGGUGAUGGUGGUUAUGACAAGAGUAGUGCUGCCAUACCUCCACCAAGAACACAGUUGACAGCUGCCAUGCCUCCACCAAGCACCUCCCUCCCCUUUCUCCCGAAGCCAUGGUAGCUCCACCCCCAAAUUUUACAACUCAUGACAGAUCAUAUCCAUCUUACCAAUUUUUUAUUUAAUUAAUCCCCAAAGUGAGAAUUACUCUUCUAUAAAUGAUAUUUGGAAAACCGUUUUGCAAACGAAAAAGACAAAAGGCUCAAAAGACAAAUAAAAUUUUGCGUUUUUAUAAUUACAUAACUAGCAUAUGGGCACACAAAGUGUGUGAGAAAAUUUUUUAUUUUUGUUUUUGAAAUAGAAGGAGAGAGGAAGAGAGUGAUAGAGAAUGGGGAAGCUUUUUAUUUUUUUUAGAGUUAUGUUAGGAUUACAUGUUGAGGUUUUGAAAAAAAACACAGCAAAAGUUGGUUGUGUGAAAUUACAUUUCUGCCUCAUAUUUCUUAUUCAUGUUCUGUUUUAAUUAGAGGGUUAAACUGAUAAUUUCAUAGGUUUUGGUUGACAAUGAGUGUUUUAUUAAUUAGUAGAGAUGAGUGAGUUAGUUUAAUUCAAUAAUUAUCUUUAAUAAUAAAAAUUGACUAUUAAUAUAUACUAGAUAAAAGUCACAUACUAUGUUAAUCUAUAGACAAUUUAAAAAAGAAUUGGAAUUUUGUUAAAAAAAAAAAGAAAGAAUUGGAAUUAAAAUUUAAAAAAGGGAAAAGUAGGGAGUGGGAGAGAAAAAGGUACCAAAACCGAAACAAGAAACAAAUCAAACCGCACCGAACAGUUCGGUUUUGCGGUUUUGAAACCAAACCGCAAUGUAAGGAAACAGUUUAGUUGUGGUUUUGACUAUUGAAAGCUGCACCGAAACCGAACCACACCGCACAUAUUAAUAAACAUUUAAUUGAAUAUCAUAUUAGAUGUCAUGUUUUAAUUGGUUGUUUGUUAGAAUCCAUAUGUACUUUUUUUUUUUUUUUUGGGAAAUUGAUUCAUAAAUUAAACCAGGUCGAGCCACCAAGGGUGGAAAGCCAAUGAGGGCAAACGAGCACAAACAGACAGUACAAAGUGAGGGAGGGGAUACAAAUGAUGCAGCAAAAGCCCCUUGCGCACCACCCAAACCCACGACACCAAAAACUAAUUAGGGGGACAUGAAAGACCAUCCUUAGAUACCAAAAACUAAUUAGGGAGUCAUAUAUAUAUGUAUGCUUAGGUUUGCAUUGUUUACAACAGCUGGUGAUACUUUGUUCCAUAGGAUAGGACCAAACAUAGUUUUAUGUUAUUAGAAUCUUGUUUGCCGCCCACACCACCCAAUGGUAUUCUUGUAUGCUGUCGCCUUCUCCUAAUAUAUAGAUGAUAGUUCAUUUGCAUAGGAAAAGGAGAACAGAAAGGGAAGGCCUGUCAAAUAAAACUCUCCCCAAACAUCCAAUAUCUUUCAUGAACAAAAAGGGAAGGCCUGUUAAAUAAAACUCUCUCCAAACACCCACUAUCUUUCUAACCAAACACACCACUUUUUCUCUGUUACUAGUAUCCAAACAUCCAUCUUCUCAGUUUACCAAAAAUUAAUCAAGGUGUGUUUAAUGUAUAAAGUGGCGCGCAGAUAAUUGAAGAGUUUUUAUGUUUUUCUCUUCUAAUGUUGUCAAUAAAUGAACUUUAAGCCAUUGUUGGUUAGGGAGAAGAAAAUGGAAACAUAAGAAGAAAAAGAAGACGACGACUGAUCAUUAUUCAGGAGACGACAAGUUCGACAAACAGAGGUGCAGAAGAGCAAGAAAGGCUCAAGCUUUUCUCAACUUGGUUUUCUUCAUUUUAUUAUGCAUUUAGUGACAACUUCAAUUAUGUUUCGAAAUUAAUUUCUUUUCCUAGAGCUACGAGGUAGCCUAAUCAUGAUUGCUUCAUUCCUUAGUUUCGUUAUUUAUGAAUUUCAGUCUUAUUGAGUUUAUUUUGUUGUGGAUUAUACGCUUGAUUUUUAUCUUGUUGAUUAGCUACAAACUUGGUUUGUCAAGUUUAUCUAAUGCAAAUUUAAGUAUGCGCCAAUUCAAAGCUUCUUGGAGUUAAAGUUAUGAAAUCCUUGAUAUCGAGGUUAUACACUAAGUUUCAUGCGGUCUCUUAGUUAGUGUCCAAAUCAUUAAUGAAUUUUUUUUUGUGUUUAGUAAUCUACAUGUCAUAGAUUCUUAGCACAUAAGAGUAUACCUAGUAAUCUAGAUGCCAUGAAUACUAUAUGAUUUAGAGGAAUUAGAGUAUACCUAGUAAUCUUGAUGAUAUAUUUGUUAAUAAUUUACUGCCAAAAAUAGGUUGGACUGGUUAUGGUGAAAUCGAAUGCUCUAGCAACUCACUCAUCUCGUUCAUAAUUUGUUUCUAUUUGCAUCCCUAUUCCUUUAGUCUUAUUUUUCUUGUUAUUCUUCAGUGUUUUUAAAUCAAGAACUCAAUCCUUGCAAUUCUUUCUUAUAAUCAAUGUUACUUUUAAUUCAAGUGCAAUUCAAUUUAAGUUAGGCAAUUAGAAUUGACUCGAUCUCAGUUAGAACAAGGUUGUGUUUGCCUAUUAUAGUAUACUACGAUUCGUACAUUUGCGAGCAUUAAAAUUUGAACUUAAUUGGAUUGAUUUCAGUAAAUCUAAUUUCGGCAACAAAGAUCGAUUUUUUUGUCUUAAAAUAGUUAAGAUCAAUUAAAUUCUAAUUGCAUAGUUUCUAAAUUUUUUCAAAAGGGUUGGUGGGAUCUUUCAAAGCUCAGAAGUGUGCUAUUUGAGAAUAUGGUGCAGAAAACCAUUAGUUGGCUUGCUGGUAACCUUGGUGUGAGAAGGGACAAACUUUAACUUAUUUGAAAUGGCAUUUCGAAUGGUGUUUUCUUUGUGAAGACUUCUUAUGGUCUCUUAUUUCAAAGAGAGUCUUGGAUGAUUGGUCCCUAAUGAACAGCGGGCUAGGAAAUAUUUGACUUCUAAUCCUUCAUGCAAUUUUUGUUCUUGGCAUGAUGAAUCUAUUCUCCAUAUUCUCAGGAAUUGUUAUAAGACUGAAUAUGUUUGGCUGCUUCUUAGUGUGCGUUGUUAUGUGAUAAACUCUUUUGAUUAGAACAUUCAAGCUUGGUUGCUUGCUAAUCUUAAGGUGCAUAUAAGGUUAUCAAUCAAAGUUCUUUGUGCAUUUUAUUCCUCUUUAUUUUUUGGCAUAUUUUGAAAUGGAGAAAUCAACAAAUUUUUUAUACUAAUUAUGUUAUGCCAAGGGAUCCUUAAGCUAUUUUAGUAAGGGAUGCUGCUGAAUGGGUGAAGGCGUCCUCAAAAGCUUCUGUGAAGCCAACUAGGAUGGUGCAAGAUUAAUAUUGAUGGUUAAGAAGAAUGACUUCUAGGCAAAUUGGGGGUGGUUGAGUUCUUAGAGAUCAUUGUGGUGAUUGGUUAGGGAGAUUUUCUGCUAAUUUGGGGCAGGGACAAGUUAUGGAGGUAGAGGUUUAGAGUUUUUAUUUUGGCCUUAAGCUUGCUUUAACAAAGGCGUAUAUAGGCUUAUUAUUAAGAUGAAUUCAGUGGGUGGUGUCAACUUGAUUAAGCAAAAUAUGGCAAAUGAUUUUCAUCCUCGUAUUACAAUUUUGAGUAGCAACUGAAAUAUGAAGGAUCAGCUGGUGCGUCAUCGGUUGGUUCAUACUUUCCGACAAAAUAAUUUUGUUGCUGUUCAUUUAGCUAGCUCGAGCUACAAUACGGACCUGGAGGUUUGUGCUUUUCAUGAUCCUCCUAUGUGGAUUGAGAUGGUGUCGAUGGAUGAUUGCUUAGGCCAUCUCCAACCGAAGGGUCCAGAGGGCCAGAGGGCCGAAAAUAGCCCUAAAACCGUCUCCAACCGAGGGCUAGGCCAGAGGGCUCUGGAAUCUGGGAGGGCCCCACGGGAUCGGAGAGGGUUGGAGGGCUGGAGGGCUGGCUGCUUUCGGCCAGCCAGCCCCGGGCUGGCUUAUUUUUUUUUUAAUGUUUUCUAUUGCUGUCGGUUAAAACCGACAGCAUUGAAGAGGUUUUUUUUUUUUUUAAUAGUUCUACUAUUAGUGUCGGUUAUAACCGACACUAAUAGUUUGAAAUGUUUUUUAAUAUAACGGCUAGUAGCCGUUGGAUUAUUAGGCCUCUUUUUUUUUUUUUUUUUUUUAAUGAAUUUAAACUUCUUUUUUUCCCUUUUUUUUUCCUUUUCAUAUGAAUCAAAUUUUGUUUCAUAUUUUUUUUCCUAUAACUUCUAUUUCACAAAAUUUGUUUCAUAUUUUUUUUCAAUUCUAUUUUUUUCGUAUAACUUCCUAGGCCAUUUAUACAACAUUAAAUUGUAGUUUUUAAAUAAUAAAUUAUGUUUGGCCCUAUGGCCCUUUGGCCCUCGGUUGGAGACGGUUUUUUGUGACAGGGCUAAAACGAGCCCUUUGGCCCUCUGGCCCUCGGUUGGAGACGGAGGCAAAUAUGGCCCUGUACUGUUCAUUAAAAUAUUAAUAUCUUGGGGAAUCUUGGAGGGCCAGAGGGCUCAAACGAGCCCUCUGGCCAGCCUUCGGUUGGAGAUGGCCUUAGGUUCUUCAAGGCUUGUUUUGUCUGUUCGAAUGUUGUUUCUUAUUUCUUACAUUUAUAAGGUUAGGUGUUCCAUAUGAUCGACCUCUUCGAGUUCAUUGUUGAUGUGUUUUCUCUCUAUAACAAGGUGCUGCCGCAGGCGCAGCACCCGUUGAAGUUUUUGUUAGGGAUCCAUUAAAUAGUUAAUUCUGAAGAGAUUGAAUUAAAAGUCAAUUAAUCUUCCGGACAUUGAGAAUUCAUUUGGAUUUGAAAUUAGCCAUGGACUUCAAGGUUCAAUGACCAAGACCCAAAUGUGAGAAAAUUUUCAUUGUGUCUGGAACACGGAUGGUACACCACAACUUGUUAUAUAAGUGGUGAGAAAUGUUAUUUUUUAAGUUGUUAAUUUUUUAACACAAGUAUCUUACUAUUUGUAUAAUGACACAUGGUGUAUCACCCCGUAUUCCAGGUACACUGAAAAAUCUCUCUUCAAUCACAACUUAAAUUCAUGAAGUCUAAAAGAGGCUCAUUGAAUUCUCUUAGCCAAUUAUAGAGGGACAAGAGAUUGUUGAGUGUGUCGCUAGAUCAUCUCAAAUAGGCUCUUUAAAUAAGCUUUUAACAACCACUUAGUAUUACGGUCUAGUGUUAUUUUUCUUCACUUAUAAGUGAGAAGUCUUAUAUUCAAUUCUUUCCAAAAGAGAAAUUGAGUCAAAUUAUUGUUAGCCCAUUGUGAGGUUUAACCCGUUUUCUAUCUCUCAUGGACACCCACUUUUCUUUUUUUGCACACCCGUAUUUCUUAUUAUUUUAUUUCAUGUAUUUAAACCCGAAUUCUAUAACAUUUUUUUUAGUACAUCGAUACUUUUACACUAGGAGGAGUGGGAGUUCGACUAAGCCACACAAUAUGUAGCCUAAUUUGGUAUCGAAUUCGCUAUCCACGAGAUUUGAACCUAAGAUCUCUUAUUUCCAAGUGAAGAAGAAGACCACCAGAGCGUAGUAUUGAGUGGUUAAUCCCAACAAUAAUUAGCAAUAACUUUUUGCACCUAAUUCGCUCCCAGCUCGCAACAUGUGUUUACAUCUCUCUUUCUAUUGUUUUAAUUCCUUUUUUAAGUUAGCUUCAAUAGGUUUUUAAAACUAAAAGUUGAAAUCAACGUUGGAGAGAUAGACAAGGAUUUGGAUCCUCUCUUAAGCUCAACAUCCUGAGCCUGCUAAGCAAAUCACAUGGGCCAUUGGAUUUUGAUUCAACGACUACAAACAGAAGGCUCCUCUAAAAGUUAUAAUAAUUGUAGCCGUUAGAUUUCAUAGUGGGUGUUCAAUUUGGUUGUAUAGGAAUUAAGUUGGGUGUAGUCAAAUUAGGAUUUCAAUUGAUUUUUAAGUUAUUGGAUUUCAUAGGAUUAUGGACUUCUAUCAAAUAUAUAUGGAUUCUGAAAGGUUUGAGAAGAUUCGUAUAACAAAUUUUUAAUAAUUUAAUAGACUUAUGCAGCUUUAAAUCUUGGCCAUCUAAUAAAUCAAAUGGUUAUAAAUGUGUUUAGGUCAUAAAUCUAACCAAAUGGAGCUGCAAUUGGUUCAUGCUCUAGAGUUGCAUCCCCUUCUCCAGAUGGAACAACUUGGUGAAGCAAGAGUCAGCUUGAGUGGGGCGUGGUGGAGAUGAGAUUCUUUUUAACCUUUUUUAUACAUGAAAUUCACUCUCAAAUCCCACUAAAUCGCUUACUCAAUGAAGCUAAGGACAACUCAUUGCGGAGGCUGUUGCUUUAAAGGAAGGGCUUUUGUUUGCCAAGCGCAAAUGUGUGAAGAUGUUGAUGGUGAAAGGGGAUUCUAAGCAAGUCAUCCAGGUGGUGCAAGAUGUUUGGAUGCCUCCUUGGCAUCUUAAACCUAUCAUAGAGGAUAUAAAAUGGUUGGCUUCUAAGUUUCAACUAGGGGUGGGCAAACGGGCCCUGGGCCCGCGGGUAGGGGCGGGUAUUAGCGGUUCGGGGCGGGUACGGGGCGGGUCCUAAUUUUAAAAAAGAGAAACGGGGCGGGGCGGGGCGGGCCUUUGAAAUUUUAGGUUCGGGCCGGUUCCAAAAGUGUAGAAAAAUGGGUACCCGGACCGGCCCGUUUGCAAAAAAACCCCUUUGUUGGGUACUGUUAUUGUCUCCCAGCCUCCCAAGCCCACUUCUUUUGUUCCUCCCCGUGGGCCGUGACAUUUCUCAAUCUCCAACACACACACACACACCCCAUUUCUCAGUCUUCGUAACAAAAUCGCUCGAACCUUCCUCAUUCUUCUGCUUUGUUUUUUUCUCCCCCAUCUCUGCAACUCUUCUUCCCGGAGCACAAACACACCACCCCCACACCCCACCGAGAAAUGAUAUGCUGCCGCCGCCCUCCUCCCCCACCAACUCCUCCGUCUCCUCCUCCGAUCUCAACACCGAGGUAACGCAUUUCCCUAAUUUCUUCCAAUUUCGUCAAUUUCUUAAUUUUGAUUGACAAAAUUUGUGAAAAGUUGUGAAAUUUUCAAUUGCAUGUCUGGCUUUUGGCACUCCUUGUCCAGGAUGAAGAUGGUCUUGGUUGGUGGGUACGAGUGCUCGAAGGAUAGCUUGGGGUUCGACCGGAUCUCCACGUUUGAGUCGUCCAGCUGCAGUGGGGAGUGGUGGAGAGAACUGAGAAGGCGCACAACGUGAUCAACUCAAGCUUUCUCUCUCUGGCGAGGAAGUUGGAUCUGUGCAGCCUAUGCUCCGGCGGCGCUUUCUCCGUUUUUCUUUUGUUGCCAGAUGCUCAAAUGGGAGAGAACUGAGAACACCUCGUUUCUGUAGUGGAUUACAAUAUGACCCAUGCUUUGAUUUUGUCUGUUUCUUUAUCAUAUUUGCAAUGUUAUUCUGAAUGAUACAUCUUCUCAGAUGUUAUUGUUUGUUUGUUAUUUUUUGAUGUAAGAAGAGCAAGAGAAGCUGGAGAAGAAACUGAAAAUUAGAAGGAAAAAAAAAACAGGGUACCCGUUGGACCCGUAGGAACCGGCCCGUUUUAUACGGGCCGGGUUAGGUCCGGUUCUCAGUUUGAAAAUAGUAGAAUCCGCCCCGGCCCGGCUCGUUGUAUUUUCAAGCGGGUCCGGUCCGGUCCCUUCAAUUUUGGGCCCGGCCCGGCCCGUGCCCACCCCUAGUUUCAACACAUCAGUUGGAAGCAUAUUUAUAGGGAAUCUAAUUUUGUGGUGGACACAUUAGCUCAUUUGGGCCUCAGUGUUGCCAGCCUUUAUUUUUGGGAUUAUUGUCUUCCGUUUUCGGCUAUAAAGGCCUUUAAUUUUGUUUGUAUUGAAAACGGUUGUAUUAAAGAUUUUAAGCUUUAAUAAAUUUCUUCUUUAUCAAAAAAAAAAAAUGAAACCUUACAAAAUCUAUGACAUUGUGAACACCUACGGAUUUGCAUGGACUCUUUUUAAUCCUAAUUGACUACAUUUGGAUUUGGAUGAAAUUUUUUAAAAUCCUGUUAAAUCCUACUUUGACUACAACAUGAUUUCAAAGUCUUUUAACACUCUAUUGACUACACCCUGAUUAGAAACUUAAUUUGACUACACCUCCUAAGAUUAUAUUAAAAAGUCUAGUAAGUCUUUUAUAGUAAUUGUACAUAUCAGUGUAAGUAUUAUUUUUCAUUAAAUGAAACUAAAGGGUGUCCAGAGUAAAAGGUUGGUGUAUACAUAAUUAAUUAAAAAUUUAAUCAUUACAGAGUGAUUCAGUGGUUAGAGACGAAUUUCACGUUUGUAAUCCACACAACACAUCAUGGGUUCGAUUCCUAGUACUGGUGAAUAACACGAUGAUGGUCAGGAAAGGGUUGAAAUGCCUCUGUGAGUAUUUCCGACCCUGAAAAAAUGAAAUGCCGUGACGAAGCCAUUAUCUGUCCCCUUUUCAAAAAAUAGAAAAGCUACCUUCUCCUUUUACCUUUCCCAACUUGCCUUCCCCAUUCAUUAGUUGACAUGUGAACUCUACCACUAGUUAAAACUCAAUAAUUAAUGUGUUAAAAUAUUAAUUAUUUAGUUCCAAUUUUUAACUUGCACUCAAUACUUUCUUUAAAUUAUAUAAUUUCCACCGGAGCCGUCCUCCUUCCUAGGGAUGACCAAUUAUAAUCGUUAAAACUAAUAACUAUGGAAAACCGUCUGAAUGUAUUGAAUUUGGGUAUGAAAAUUCGAGUAUAUUUUGGUUAUGGGAAAAAACCGUAAAUAAUAUUUGGUUAUGGUUUUGGAUAUGGUUAUAGCCAUCCUCCUCUUAAAUCUUACUACCAAGGCGGACUUACAAGUGAAUUAGCUAGCAACCAAUUCAGUUGUAAAUAAUUCUAUUCUUCACAUCAACCUUACGGUGUUGAAACUUAGAGGUUUCGUAUUUUUGUAACAUAUGGAGAACUUGCUCAACCAUCAAAGGGGAUCAAAGGAAGGAGUUUUCAAGGUGCAAUUCAAGGAGAAGAUCAAGCCCUUCCUCUAGGGUGAUACACUUUUUCAAAACGAAAGUAGUAGUGCUUCAAGCUAUUGAAUCCAAAUCUCUAUGUUUUGUCUUUAGGGUGAACCCGCGUGCUUAGCCAUCAACCGGCCUUUUCUUGGCGAAGCCCACUAUCGUCACCACCACCAAAGUGAAGCAUGCGAUCCCAAAAAAUUGUACUUCAAUUUUUUUGUAGCAUGUUCCAAUGUCAAUGAGCGGCCCUCUAUAUUAUGAACUUACUUCUAUGAUUGUUUUUCCAAAUUCAAAUGUUUGAUCGAAAAAAUUGUAAUUGACCGUCGUUCCAUUUUGUGAACAAUGGCAACACAAUGGUUGGAUUGUCAUAAAGUUUAAAUAGAGGUAUUUGAACUUUAAACUUGGAAAAAAAAAAGAUUUAAUUAAAAUUUGGUGUUAGAUUACAUAUUUAUUUAGUUUGUUUUUUUUAGUACGUACAACGAUAUAUUUUACACUAAAGGGAGGGGAGAGUUUGGCUAAGCCGCACAAUGGGCAAUCUAAUUUGGUAUCGAAUUCGCCAUCAACGAGAUUCGAACCUAAAACCUCUUACUUAUAAGUGAAGAAGUACCACUAGACCGUAGUACUGAGUGACAUAUUUAUUUAGUUAUUAGAUGUGUACUUUUAAUUCAAAUUCAAAUUCAUAUUCUAUUUUUGUUUUAAUGUUUAGAGAUUAUAUUCACACACCCCAAAUUACUUCUUCCACACCUUUUUUAAUUUUUUUAAUAUUUUCUACACACCACUAACACUUGAUGGAAAAAUAUUAAAAAAUUAAAAAGGUGUGGGAGAAGUAAUUUGGGGUGUGUGAAUAUAAUCACCCUAAUGUUUAAUGUGUAUAAUAUUCAACAUCUCCCAUUAAAUAUUUGAAUUUGUUAAUAUACAUAUUUGAAUUUAUUAAUUUUAUUUAACUUCCUCCAAUUAUAUCCUUAUAAAUGUACCUAAAUGAGAAAACAUUGAAAAAAUAAAAUAAUGACACAUAAGAAACAUGUAAAUAUAUAAGUGUACCGAAAAUAUACUAAAAGGAAUUGAUGUACCUAAAUGUCUGUAUUGAAAUAUAAGAUGUACUUAAAUGUCUGUACCGAAAUGUAACAUAUUAAAUUAAGGUACUUAAAUAUCUGUACGGAAAUGACUAUACUAAAAUAUAUUAAAUGAAUUAAUAUACCUUGGUUAUGUCACUUUCUAGGUUAAGCUGCAGGCCAGGCUCCAAUAAAGGGCCUCCACCUCCUCCUACAUUCAAAUAUAUAAAAUAAAAAUGAUCAUAUAAAAUGUGAAAUAUUUGAUAGGAUCCAUUUUGGAAACGUAGAAUACCGAAAAUAUAUUAAAAUGAAUUGAUGUAUCUAAAUGUCUAUACUGAAAUAUAAGAUGUAUCUAAAUAUCUGUAUCGAAAUGUAUUAUAAUAAAUUAAUGUACCUGAAUGUCUAUACCAAAAUGACUAUACUAAAAUAUAUUAAAUGAAUUAAUCUAAAUAAAUGCAGAACUCAAAGUGUAUUGAAAUAUAGUUUACUAAAUAACUAUAACAAAAUAAAAUAUCAAAAUAUAAUUAAAUGUAGAAGAAAAAGAAAAAGAAUAUAAUUAUGAGGUUACUAAAUGUAUCAACGGACUAAAUUUGAUUUUAAUCUUAUACAAGAUUUUAGUUUAAAAGUUAUAUUUUUGAAGGAUUAGAAUGCAAUUUUGUAUUUUAAAUGUUACUGUUGGUACUAUGUGUGACUUGCAGAAAACUUAUGUGUGUGAACUUGAAGUUUGUAGACUUUUGAUCAAAGAUUGUAGGGUUGAGGACCCUAGGGACACUGCUUUAACCAAAUGGUUGACUUCUCCAUAGCAUCCUAGCAUGUCAUAGCCAACAUAUACAAUUCAGAUUUGACAAAUAUUCGACUUAACCGUGAUCACACAAACAAUAGGAUACGAAAAGGUACGAAAAGUGAGAGGGUAGAGAAUCUGCCUCCAGUUAGAAAUGGCUAUAUUAGUUGACGUAAAUUUAAAUUAUAACUUAAUUUUCAUGGCAAUUAUUUAGCACUUUGGCAUGGGGAUCUAUGCCAACUCCUAAAUUAACAAUAUUUUCUUGUAUUAUAAUAUUGAUCAAGUGAUGUUCUGCAUAAAGAAAACCUCACAGCAAGACUAAGGAGAAAGGCCAACGUAGUAUUAAAAAAGACUAAAGGCGAUGAAAUUGUACUGAUUGUAUUAGCCAUGGUCUAAAAUAUCGAUAUUAUCGACGAUAUUUCGCCGAUAAUAUCGUUUUUGUGAGAUGGCGAUAUUUUUACACUUAUCCACUUAAUUAUCGUCAAUAUAUUGUGAUAUUAUCAAUAAUAUCGAUAAUAUAGAGAUAUUAUAGAUAAUAUCGCGAUAUUUUAGGACUGGUGCGAAUCGGAGAAGAACGCCGGAGCUUCUACAGCUUCGGCCGACUGUAAAAGAGCACCGUAAACUCCGAUCUAGGUAUCAAAAUGAAACACAAGAUGAGAGGAAUGUUUUUAUUCCUUCCGUUUGCCGUGAAAUGGUUCGAGGUGUUCGAAAAGUUCCUCGACACUCACGACCUCGCCGGAGCUAGGUGUGUAUUCCCCGGGUCGAUCUCGUUCUAAAACCUUGUUAAAAAAAUGAGAUAAAACUUAGUAUAUCUCAACCACACAACAUCCAAGAUGAAUUGAGGUAAGCCCGGGGCUUACCUAACCGGAGAAGGAUCAAGAGAACUCACCGGAGAGUUCCUGGGUUCCACUAUCCUAGCUGCACCGAGAGAAAUGGAGAGAAAUACGAGGUUUAGAUGGUGAUAAUGAUGCCGUUGACGGAGUACUACAAAGGGUGUGCGGUGACUGAGUGUGUGUGUGUGUUCGACGGGAAGAUGAGAGAACACAGAGAGACUAGGGGAAGAAGAGGAAAAGGAAGGGAGUGUGAGGGAGGGAAAGAGAAGAGAGAGAGAGAGAGAGAGAGAUAGGCUUGGACCCGGGGAACAACAAACAAAGGUGGGCCCCGUGGCACACCUAUUAAGACCCAAAAACAAUUUUAAAAGUAAAAUAAACUUAAACUUAGUUAAAAUACAAUUUAAAUUGGGGGUGAGUGUAACAAUCUACCAUGCAAUGUAUUAAGUGUAAAAUAUAUAAUGAAUUAGUACAAUUCAUUAUAUAUGCAAUGUAUAGAGUUCCUAUGAGGUUCAAAAUAUUGUACUAAUUCAUUAUAUAUAAAUAAUUAUUGUGUGUUUAAACUUCUUUCAUUAAUUACUACAUAUUUUCUACACUCACAAUAUUUGCCAGCUCGCUAUAUAAUCAACUUCAAUCAGUUAAAUUCAUCAUGCAAUGCAUUUCCUUCCAAUUUUUUGUGAUAAACUAAUAGAUAAUUGACUAAAUAAACAUCUUGCAAAGUUUCAAUAAAGAUUUCCAAGUUUUUUUUUACAAUUUCCGUGGUUUUUAUUCAAUUUUUAUCGAUAUCGAUAAUAUCCCGAUAUUUCCAUCGAAAUUUCCGUGUUUUUGGACUACCGUUAUUUUCGAUAUCAUCGAUAUUUUAAACCUUUGUAUUAGCUAUGAAAAUAAUUUUAUUUUAUUCUACUAUGUUAGAGUUUGAAUCUGAAUCAAGUAACCACUUGAUCAGUAAGCCUUUUAAGUUGAUCUGUAAGCCUUUGUUAGCUAUCCACUAAUUACUGAAUUUUAAGUUAAUGUAUCAAUAAUCAGCCUAAUGUUGUUUUUUACUGGUUUAGUUUUUCAGUUACGCUUUUAAUUAAGUUGUUCCAAUUGUGUAUAUAUCGAAACUUGGAUGUUUAUGUGCGCUUGUGCAUCUACCCAGAUAAUUACUGGGAGUGAUUCAAUUGUGUCAUCAAUUUCUUUCUGUCAAAUGUUAUGAAAUCCUUAUUGGAUUCAUUUAUUUAAUCGAGUGAGAUGAUUUAAUACUGGUAAUGUAUGUUUAGGAUCAUAACUGAGUCAACAAAUAACUCAUGAAUUAAAAACUCAAAGGCUACCAUACUAUGAAAUACCUUGUCAAAUACUUAAUAUAAGUAAGCAAAUUAUACAUUAAUAUCAUUCAGUCUGAGUGGCACUCAGUCUCGAUAUUGUUAGAUGUCCUGAGCUUACAUGUUCAUGGAUGACAAUGGUCAAUUAAUUGAAAGAAAAGGUAAGAACAUGACACUUUUAGGGGCACCAUUAGUAUCAUCCGCAACUUGCAAGGUUAUAAGGUUGACACUCGCUUUAUGCUAAAAUCGCUUUUACAAAUACAUUUUACCAAACACCUAACGCAUGUUAAUCUCUCCAUUGCCCCAAAUAUGUUCUUCAUAUUUCAAACACAAAAUGUGAAAAUUGAAGUAAAAUUGAAAUGAUUAUCAACAUGUGCUUAGAGAUUAUUUGUGUAAAAUUAAGCUUAAUCAUAUUUCAUCAAUGUGGAGGGCAAGGGCAAGUAAUUAUUCACUCUAAAAAGUAAUUCCCUUUGUGCAAGUCCGCCUAUUUGGAAGAAGGAAUAGUAAGGACAAGGGCAUUACUAUUCACAAAUAUAUAUAUAUAUAUAUAUAUAUAUAUAUAAAAGAAAAACUAACGAAAAGUCCAAAAACAUUUUUUUUUUAAUGGAAAGUCAUUUUUAAAGGUAUAGUGAAUAGUACCAAAGAAAGAUAUAAAUGUGGUUUUUCGUUAAAAGUGAACAGUACCAAGAAUGUUUUAUUAAAACUCCCAUAUAUAUAUUUUAAUGUUUCUUCGCCUUAUUCCCACAUGUCAUUAUCCCCGUAGAUUUUUGUUUAAUUUGUAAAUGUUUUGAACUUUGUAAGAUUUUUGAAGUGUUAACUUUUUAAGUUUUUUAAAUUUUCUAAUAAUUUUUCUAGUAGGUAACUUUUUAGAUUUUUAUUUAUUUUUAGGGCUGGAUUAGUCCUAGCUGUUGAAAUUUUUAAUUUUUAAAAUUUGCCGCGACAAAGCGCCACGUGGUGCAGCCCUAAAUUUUUAUUUUUUUAACCGUUGGAAUCCAACGGCUGUUGUUGCCUCAAAUUCGAGUCGUUUGGCUCCGUUGCCCCCCACCCCACCUGUCUGCUACAUUUCCUGGUGCAAGCCCCUGCAACAAUUGGCAGGGCAGCUGCUUUUCUGCCAAUUGCCCCUUGUUUUUCAAACCGCUGGAAUUGAUUUCAAAGCCCAUGGGCAGUUUCACCCAAUUCACAAGACAAUCCCACCGCUGGUGGAGAUUCUCUUAUAAAAAAGGUAGUGGUGGACGUUGGAACCGAAAAUUGAAACCGAAACAUGAAUUAAAUCGGACCACACCGAACAGUUUUGAAACGGUUGCAGUUUUGAAAUUACAACGCAGUGUACGAAAACGGUUUGAUUUCGAUUUCGACUUUUGAAAACCACACCAAAGCUCAAACCACACCUCAAAUUAAAUAUUAUGUUUUAAUUGGUUGUUUGGUAAAAUUCAUACAUUUAGUAUGGACUCAACCACAUUAGAAUAUCAUCUUUCUUUAGUCUUCGACAGUCUGCUCAAAGGCAGCUCUCGCCUCUCGGUUUCAAUUCUUAUCACUCAUCAGUCUCUCUCUCUCUCUCUCUCUCUUCUGAUUCAUCUGUUUUGGCAAUUGACCAUUUCAACUUUAUAAUGUUGUUGAUUGCUGAUAACGAGCAUUUCGUAUUUUGGUGAUUGCAUUUUAGUAACUGUGAUGUGUAAGUUUAUGAUCCAAAACCCAUUGAUGACAUUAGUAGAAUGCAUCAAUGCAAGCUCUAUAGAAUUAUUUUGUUGUGGAUGGCAGGAUGUGAAUUUUGAAUGCAAAGUGCAAAUUGUAUAAAAUGCAGGAUGAUAAGUAUUUUCUUGUAGCAGCUUUGGAUUAUAUUAAAUGAACAUCUUUGGUUCAAAUUCUUGUACAUCAUAAAUAUCUUGCUAUGGCUUCAUCAUUGAGUUGGCUUGGGACAUCAUCUUCGGAUAGGGUCAUAUGGUCAAUUUAGUGUCGGCUAGCACAUUACAGUCUCGUAACUUGUAUUAUUGAGGUCGGAGUGUGUCACUUAUGCAACGUUAAAUCUUGACGUCACAUAGAUCAAAUGAUGAUAAAUGUGCUUAAGUUAUAAAUCUAAUCAAAUGGAGCUGCAUUUUGUUCAUUCUCAGGAGCUGCAUUCCCUUCCCCAGACGGAGCCGACUGCAUCCACAGAAACCCAACUCCUCGAAGAUCCCCAAAUGCAUCCCUUUCCAAACCUACCUAAGUCCACCCCACUUUAUUCUUAUCCCUUUCCCAUCCCAGAUAAUCUUUCUACUUUCUCUAUCCUCUAAUCUCUUGUUUGACUCCUGACUUUCACUCUUUUUCACUCCUCUUCCUUCUAUUCCAUUGAUUAAAACUUUUUUUCUUUUGCAAUUUUUUUUAUCAAGAUCCUUAGGUUUUAAUAAACGUCAUUAUUUCAUUAAUAAAAUGUUUACAUAUCAGCAUAAUUAAAUUUUAUUUCUAACAUAUAUUCAUUUAGUGUUAAAGACGUUACAUUCGGUAAACUUAUAUUCAUGGCUAAACUUUAUAUCAAAUAUUUAUAUUUUUAAUUUGUGCCCAAUUUUAAUUUGCAACCCCUUUUUUUUAAAUUUUUACUAAUUUUCUUUUUAGUUUUAAUUGGACCCAUAUAUUAAUUUAUUUUUGUGCCCAUAUUUUUUAAAACUUCAUUUGUACUCAUAUUUUUUUAAUCUUAUAUUUGUACCAAUAAUUUACUUAUAAUGUACCCAUUCUUCUUUAUAAACUUACCACUUUGUUAUAUGUAAAAUGUGCCAAAUUUUUUUGUGAAAUUUUAUAUUUAAAAUGUACCAAGUUUUAACACUAUGGAUACAUUCUUUUGCCAUUUCUUAUUUUGUAUUGUUACAUUGUUUUUAUCCAUUUAUUCAAUCAAUUUUAUUGAAAUUUUUGUAUUGUAGCCGUUUCUAAUAGUAAUAAAUGAAGGAUUUUAAAUCUGAGAUUUAUAUGCCAUACACACACACACACACACACACACACACACACACACACACACACAUACACACAUGCAUACACAGGAAAUAUGCGAUUAUAAAUAUCAUAAAAUGUCAAAUAAUUAAUGUCAAACAUAUAGAAAUAUUACAGAUUAAUAGUAAUUUCAUGAGGUGUACCAAGUUAGGGGACUUUGAUAAAAAUUUGAAUAUAAUUAAGGUUUUAGACAAAUAGUGUCAGUGACUAGGGACUGGAUCCAAGUCUCCCUUAAUUCAAUUUCCAAUUCAUAUUUUGUUUUGUUUUAAUAUUCAAUGUGUAUAAUAUUCAAUGUCUCCUAUCAAAUAUUUGAAUUUAUUAAUAUACACAUUUUAAUUUAUUAAUUUUGUUUAACUUGCUCCAAUUAUAUCCUUAUAAUGUACCCAAAUGAGAAAACAUUAAAAAAAAGGACACGUAAGAAACAUGUAAAUACAUUAGUGUACCAAAAAUAUUUUUAAAAUUAAUGAAUUGAUGUACCUAAAUCAUGGAUGGAGCCAAUGAAGGCCCACUAGGGGUAGAUGCCCCUACUCAAGUAAUUCGUUGGUUAAGCUGCAUACUGCAAUUAUAUAUAUCCAUGUGUUAUCUUUGAAGAAAAUAUAUGUGCCUAAUAUCAAGCAUAUAUACCAUACUACUUCUACUCUAUAUCAAAUAUAAUAUGAGCAAAAGUGCUUUUGUUCUGUCAUUCAAACAGAAAAAACCCCUCAUUUGCCUGUCAUGUAUUAAUAUUUUUCUCAUCAAUUUGCCACUUUCAACUACUACUAAUUUUUUUGUAACAUUGCAAUUGCGAUACAUUGUCAUAUGAAAUCAUCUCCAAUAUCAUAUUUGGUAUAAGCCAUACUAUAAUAAGGUAUUCUUAGUUGUUUUUCAGGUUGCCCCCACUAGAAGAAAUCUAGUUUUGUCCCUGACCUAAAUGUUUGUACCGAAAUAUAUUAUAUUGAAUUAAUGUACCUAAAUGUUUGUACGAAAAUGUUUGUGCUAAAUGAUAUUAUAUUGAAUUAAUGUACUUAAAUGCCUCCAUCGAAAUGGACAUACCAAAAUGUAUUAAUAUACCUAAAUGAAUAACAUGAAGUGUAUUGGGAUAUUAUAUAAAUGAAAUUAGUUUACCUAUGUCUGUAACAAAAUCAAAUAUCAGAAUAUUAUUUGCGGAACCCCCAGAUGUUAUUGGGAUAUUAUUCCUUAUUCUUAUAAUGGAGUGGCACUCGGCCUCACCAAGUUAAGUUUACAUAAUUGUUCUGAUGUAGUUUGGUUUGAGGAACCCCCAGAUGUUGUUUGGGAAGUUCUCAACCAAGAUAUGUUACUCCCUUGAGUUUAUGAAUAUUAGCAAUCGUAUUCUAUUCAAAAAAGAAUAUAAUUAAAUGUAGUUAAUAUUAACAUUAGGAAAAAAAAACAUGAAAAUAUAAUUAUGAGGUUAUUAAAUGUGUUAAGGGACUAAAUUAGAUUUUAAUCUUAAGCUAGAAUUUAGUUUAAAAGUCAUAUUUUUUAAGAACUAAAACACAACUAAAACACAGUUUUCUAUUUUAAAUAUGUUAUUGUUGGUGCUUUGUGUGACUUGCAUAAACUUACAUUUGUGAACGUGAAGUUUGUCGACUUCAGAUCAAAGAUUUUAGGGUUCCAAAGGGUUGACUUUCCCAUCAGUGUUCACCGUAGCACGCUAUCAAUAUCAUAGCCAAUGUAUACGACUUAGACUUGACAGUUGUUCGACUUGAAUCUCAACUUGACUGGUAAAGCAAUAAUUUGGGUUAAACAAAACGGGCAAAUCUGCACAGACAGCUAAAAAACCGAUAAAGAGCAGAGGAAUGGAAUAAAAACAAGGAAAAAUCAAAAGACGUACCAUAUACCUUAUCUCUCUAUAUUCCAUUGCUUACAUAACGCCGAAGCACAAUUGGUUGGCAUAUGAAGCUGAACAAAAUAUGUUUGCCUUUUUUUUUUCUUUUCAAAUAAAACCGAGCGACAAGAAGUUGAAAUUGGCAGAAAAUGAAAUCAGGAAACACAGGAAAGCAACGAAAUUGAUUUUUCACUUUUAGAAGUAAAGCAAAGUAGAUUAAGCUAAAGAAGGUUGCUGUGAUGAAGAAACCAAAACGAGACAAGUGUGUAAUUAGAAGAUGGAGCGAAUAAUGAGAAAGGGAUGGGAAGAAAAGCUCUCUUAGCAGAAGAGAUGAGAUAAUGAAUGCAUGAGAGAGAGAACGUGGUACCAUAGAGAAGCCCACGUUGUAUGCAAUUAAAAAAGACUAAGGUAAGAAAAUGGCUGUAUUAGUUGACGUCUUGAGAAAUGUGACAAAGAACGUGGUACGAUAGGGAAGCCCAAUGUAGUAUGCAAUUGAAAAAGACUAAAUGAGGACUUAUUCUGGCAGGCAUUUCCUACUUCCUAGGUAAGAAAAUGGCUGAUUAGUUGGCGUAUUGAGAAAUGUGAGAGAGAACGUGGUACCAUAGAGAAGCCCAACGUUGGGAGAGAUUUUUCAAACCAUGAAACCUGGAAAUCUGUACAAAAGUUCUGAUUCCAUCUCUCAAAUUAUGGAAAAAAAUUUAAUUGUGAUGGGAAUAUGGUACAUUACGUGUUUUUAUGUAAGUAGUGGAAAAUUUUAAUUUUUAUGUUAUUAACCUUUUAAUACACAUAACUCACCAUUUAUAUAAGAACACGUAGUAUACCACCUCGUGUGACGGUCACACAGAAAAAUCUUUCCAAAUCAUGAAAGGGUCAUGGCUAAGUUACAAAAACUCCAUUAAAAACUCCUCAACCAAACUCACUAACUCAUAAUCCACAAAAUAUAUAUACAAUUAUUCACAAAUUUCCGAUGGAAAAAAUUUGAGGAAAAAAAGGUGUAGGGAGAAACCCACAGAAAAAUUAAUAAUUUUGGAAAAGAGAGAGAGACAAAUUCAAAUUGUAGAUUUACCCUGGACUUUUUUCAGUUUCAAAAUUUAGAUCUUGGGUUGUUUCUUUUGUUUACAGAUUCAAAUCUUGGGCUUGCCCAGUAUAGUUCGAUGGAUAUUUGAAAAUUGACAACCACGGUUACCAAUUCUUAGUGUGAGAGAGGAGAGCUGAGAAUUUUGGAGAGAAGAGAGUAAGGCUUUUACAAUGCUUUUGGCUUCAUCGGGAAUAUGAAAGGGUGAAGAACAGCAAGUGGAGAGAAAUAUAAUUUUAAAUUACUAUUUUCUUAAGUUAUAUUAACAGUGGGACUCAAGGAGCACUAUCAAUUAUAGUCAGAUACAAGUGUUGGGCAAGUCCGGCUAGACUCCCUUUUGGUGCAAGUCCCGCUAGCAUUUGGGGCGAGUCCGGCUAGCAUUCUCCUUGAUCGGAAGUCUACGAACUUCAACUUCACAAACGUAAGUAAUAAGGUAUAAGUUUUUUUUUUUUUUUUUUGGAAAAUGGGAAUACAUUACCUAGGCUAAGAAGUCAAACAUACAAAGAAAGCCUACCGCGAGGCAAGCAAACAACAUAGCAAAAGAGAACCCAGACAACAUAGAGAGAUAAAAGGAAGACAUCAAAACCACACUACUCCAUCACUCCCUCCACUGCCCAUAAGCCAUCAAGGAGGACAGGGUAAACCAUCAUUAUGAAGUACAAAAACUAACGAAGAUGGGGGUCCAUUGACCCAAGAAACCUUGCACAUCUCCACACACUACUUCGACGCUAAGAAGUCCGCCAUCAUGUUGGCUGAUCUUGGAAUCCAAGACCAGCGACAGUCCUGAAAAGACUCCCCUAACCGUCUAGUAUGCAGUAAAGCAAGGUAAGCUUCCCAGCUGCCAUUCUCAAUCGAAGUCGACAGGGAAGUAAUAGAGUCGUGAGAAUCAGAUUCAAUAACAACCUGCUUGAGUCCCAAGUCUAGCCCAAAUUCACAUCCUUUAAUAAUUGCCACAUGUCACAUCCCGAUCCGAGUCCACCACCGUAGCACGAUAUUGUCCGUUUUGGGCUUACCAUUCCCUCACGGUUUUGUUUUUGGGAACUCGCGAGUAACUUCCUAGUGGGUCACUCAUCCUGGGAGUACUCUGACCUCCUUUUCACUUAACUUCGGAGUUCCUACAAAAUCCGAAGUCAGUGAGCUCCCAAAAUGGACAAUAUCGUGCUACGGUGGUGGAACGGGCCCGGGAAGUAGUCCGUCUCGGGCCGAGAUGUGACAAAUGGUAUUAGAGCCAAUCCCUGGUCGAAAAUAUGCCGACGAGGACGUCGGGCCCAUAAGAGGGGUGGAUUGUAACAUCCCACGUAGCCCAGGGGAGUGAUCCUUAAAUGUAUAUUCCCAUCCCUACCUAGCACGAGGCCUUUUGGGAACUCACUGGCUUCGGGUUUUGUAGGAACUCCGAAGUUAAGCGAGAAGGAGGUCAGAGCACUCCCAGGAUGGAUGACCCACUGGGAAAUUACUCGUGAGUUCCCAAAAACAAAACCGUGAGGGAAUGGUAAAUCCAAAGCGGACAAUAUCGUGCUACGGUGGUGGACCCAGACCGGGAUGUGACACCACAGCUUCAGCAGCGCCCACCGAAGGAGCGCAAAUAGCAUGUCGUUUGGCGCCCACAAAAGAGCCUGCUACAUCCCUAAUGACAAUCCCCAAAAAACCAGAGCUAUUCUGAGCCGACCAACUAGCAACAUUGACUUUGAAAUAGGGCUCGGUAUGAGGGAGCUAAGAGGAUAUUCUAUCACAGAGUAGCGUAGUUCCAGGGCCUUGUGAAGGCUUCCGGACAACAGCAAAGAAAGCUCCAAUGGAUAUAUUUAUAUCACAAAGAACCUUGGAAAGAUUAAUAGAACUCUAUGCAUACAAGAAGUUACACCCAGCUUUCCAAAUGUGCCAACAAGUGAAAGCAACAUAUGAUAACAGAUACAUGCAGUCUUCAUGAGAACCCACAUGCAGAUUGGAAAUAGAAAAGAGCCAUUUUAUCCAAUUUGAGAAUUCAUACCUGUUAAUUCGAAGGUUUAGAAUCCCCCCAAACUAGAUGGCUUCCACCUAUGGGCAUUGCAAAAAUAAGUGUUCAAUGGACUCCACCUGAGUAUGGCAAAUUAGACAGGUCGGAUGAGGAGCGGAACAACGCUUAAACAAAGCCUCCAUCGUAGCCAAAACGUCAUGGAAGGUCCGUCAUAGAAAAAGUUUGAUCUUUGGUGGAGUAUGCAACUGCCAGAUUAAUUUCCAAACUCGGCUAGUAUGACUAGUGGACGAAGCAGGAUGAAACAAAGAUUGGUUGCGAUAUUGAGAAUGCAGCCAGUUGUAUCCAUAUUUCACCGAGUACUAACAAUUCUUAGUUGCCAGCCAAAUAAGCCGAUCAUCUCUCCCCGGAAGUAAUAAGGUAUAAGUUACGUUAUCAAUACUUAGGUAAUGAUUCAAUCAUCUACAAUCACAUAAUAUAAUUUAUAAAAUAUGAUUUAAAUAGAUAGUUUCUCUAACAAUAUGGUACAUUAACACAAGGUGAAUGUUCUUCAUGAAGAAAACCUCACAAUAAGGCCGAAGCUUCCUAAAUGGUUCUUUUUCCCAACUUCGCAGUACUAAAAUUUAGCACCUUAGGCCAUCUCCAACCGAAGAAGGGCCAAAGGGCUCUCUUGAGCCUUAUAGCCCUCCAAAAAAUUAAUAUUUUAAUAAACAGUGUCAAACCAUUUUUCUUACCAUCUCCAACCAAGGGGUCAGAUGGUCAUAGGCCAAACAUAGUCCUUUGACAAAAAACCAUCUUCAACCGAAGAGGCCAAGGAGUCAUAAGGACAAAUUUAAUUUAUUAUUUUAAUUGAAUUACUAUGGUUACUUAAAUUAAAUUACCUCAAUAAUUUUACGUUAUGGAUUGUCAAUAAUUUUUCGAGAUGGGAAAAUAUUUAAAUAAUAAAAAACAAUUUUUUCGAUUGUAUAAUUUUUAUAUUGUUUAAUGUUACUUAAUGUUAUUUAAUGUUGUUUAAUAUUGUUUAAUGGUGUUUCAUGUUACUUAAUGUUAUUUAAUGUUAUUUAAUGUUGUUUAAUGGCUUAGGAAGUUCUAGGAAAAAAAAUAGAACUAAAUUUUUUUUUUUAAAAACGAAAAAUAUUUUUAAAAAAAAAAAUUCAAAUAUGACGUCAACAAAUGGCCCGGCACGGGGCUGGCUGGGUUAGGCCAGCUGGUUGGCCUUUUUCUCCUUUUUGGCCCAGUGGGGCCCACGAGCUCUUUGGCCUAACCCUCGGUUAGAGGCAGUUUUUGUGUCAUUUCAGGCUAUUUUCGGCCGUAUGGCCCUCUGGCUGGAUCGGUUGGAGAUGGCCUUAGUUUUACUAUAUCUCCAAAAAUUGUUUACCAACAACAGUAAAGUCUUUUCCCAUUAAGUGGAGUCGGCUGUAUGAAUCCUAGAACGUCAUUCCGCUCGGUUAUGUGCCACGUUUUCCGUUAGAUCCAAGUACUCUAAGUCUUUUCUUAGAGUCUCUUUCAAGGUCUUCAUCUACUCUUUUGGCCCUGAACCUCUCUCGUAAUCGCAUCUUCUAACUAGAGCGUCAGUAGGCUUUCGUUUCAAAUUUCCAAACUACCGUAACCGAUUUUCUCUCAUCUUUCCUUCAAUUUCGACUACUUCUACUUUACCUCGGAUAUCCUUAUUCCUAAUCUUAUCCUUUCUCGUGUGCCCACACAUCCAACGAAGCAUUCUCAUCUCGGCUACAACCAUUUUAUGUACAUGUUGAUACUUCAUUGCCCAACAUUCGGUGCUAUAAAGCAUUGUUGGCCUUAUUGUCGUCGUAUAAAAUUGUUUACCAAAAAAGAAAAAAGAUGUCCGACAUAGGCUCAAACACAUUAGAAUCUUAAAAGGAUAUUGCCGAUGGACUUAUAUUCUUUAAUUUGCCCAAUAGUACACGCUUAACUCAUUCAAGUAUGGAAAAACUGGAUCAUCAGCUAGAGGGGAGUUCUCAUUCCCUAAAUGCAUCAGCUCUGGCAUUUCACGGAGCCGCGAAGUCUUUACAUGUGGAAGGGUCCCAACUGCAUGUACUUCCCGGCUAGUAUUUCCUUCCUGGGCAAAUAUUUUCUUUCCAAGGUGCAGAACGCAAAAAGAGUGCUUCAAGCUUCUGUAAUUUUUGAAGGAAAAUAAAUAUCUUGGGGUGUGCUGCCGGAGAAAAAGUUAAAGAUCGUAGUCUAUUACUGAAGUCCACUGGCAAUGGACCAUACGGUUCAUAGAAAAUCUCUAUGUUGUGGUCCAAGAAACAAAAUGUACCGUAAACCCAAAUGUACCUAUAUUAUAAGUAAUCAAACGUACCAAUAUGAUCAAAUGAUCAUACAAUUAAACAUACCUUUAAUAAAAUCGUAAGAAAAAUGUUUAAUCAAAUUCUUAAAAGGAACGGAUAUUUAAUCAACAAAAUUGAAAAAUGAGGUUCCUAUGCCAAAUAAUAUUUGGAUACAUAUAGAAUUGUCAUCUCUCUAAUAACAGUAAGCCCUACAAUUGUAAAUGUGCAACACGCCUAUAUUGAAGGAUAUAUGCCAACAAACUUUAGGUUGGUACGAACAUCUCCAAGAGACUAAUCAUAUUUUUGUUAUUUUUAACACAAUUAUUGGUGAAUUAUAAAUGCUCUUUUCGACCUCAAUCUACCGUUUGCAUUCAACCGAGAUGCCUAGAAACUUUUGAAAAAGAGGACAAAUAAUCAUUUUAAUGAAAUUUUUUAUAAAAUUAGUUUUUUCAAAGAAAAUGUAUUAAAAGGAAUUUCGCUUAAGAAAAUUGUGUACAAGCAUGACACACCCCGUCCUGAAGGAGGGCAUGUUGGUCGUCACGUGAGAGUGACGUAAUCAUUUACACAGUUCGGGAGCUUAACAAAAAAACAAUUACUAAGAUGAAACACCUGAGGGUGAGUCCUACUUUUGUGAAUUCUGUCAGAACACCGUUGGAUUCCUCGUGGCCACCAAAGCUCUGCUAUCUGGAACCUGAAGGGGUGCAAAACAAAAUUGAGUGGGUCAGUAAAACAAAGUUUUUCGAAAACAUUUCAUUUAAAACAUUUCUAACCCCUCACUGUAAAACCUGUAUACUUUCCAAAAAAAUAACAUAAUAAUAUAUAAAACCUCAUACGUCACAAAUCACCAAUCUAUCACAAAUCCAGGAAUAUGCCAUGCCAUAAAUGUCAAUAACAAAACGCGGAUGCAUCAAAAUAACAGGUGACAUAAUGAAUCAACUGGAGACCCUGCAGUUGGUCCUGUACGGUUGAUUCCAUAGCUCAACAUCCAACCCAGCUGGAGUCACCACGGUGACCUGUACGGCACUACUCUGCACAUCAGUCGGAAUUACCUGAAGUAGUCUGUACGACAAGGAUGGUGUAAUGAUACGCUCUAGUGCUUCUCUCAUCAAUCAUCUACGCGUGUAAUCUAAGGUCACCUACUAGUCGGAACCACCUCUAGUGGUCUGUACGACUAGCAUGUCGGAACCCUCUCAUGGUCUGUACGACAUGCACCUACUUGGAUCCAAGGUAAGCAUGCGGUGCGGUGAAUAAUAUAAGCACUAACACCGGGGUGCAGGUUAUGAGUUCUUAACACAAUUCACAUUAUCGAUGAUUCACAUGAUUAACAUAAAACUCACCUGAUACUCACAUGUGCGUCCACAACACCAAUUCAUAUAUAUAUAUAUAUGCAUCAAUAUCAAUUCAUAUAAUUCAUAAUAUGCAUGCAUGGCGUUUGAAAACAUACUUUCAUAUAAAUUCAAUUUCUGGGAAAAUUAAUAGUAUAUAGGUAUAUACUGAAAACAAAACUGCCCACUCACCUGGAGUUCACCCAAAAACUCCCUAGCACCACACAUCAAGGUGUCAUGACGAUCGGCGCCUAGAACAAUAAUCAAAUCCAACCUUAGAAUUCAUAUCGAUAGAAUAUAUAACUUAUAUAUAACACGUCACUACGUAGUUCGAUCCGGAAGAUCUGCAACUCAGAUUUCAAAUCCAUAACUUCCAGAGGUCCACAAUAUACUUCUAGGACAACAUCCUAAAAUUUCAUUACCAUCCAACGGUCGGAUCUCCGUCAAUUUCCAAAACCAAGUGACGGUUAACAUUCUAUUUUAUGAAAUUACAACUCCAAUUCCAAAAGAUCCGUAAAUCGGAUUCCCGAUCUGUAAGUUCCUGUAAUCCUCAAAUAUUACGUAUUACAACGUAUCAAAGUUUGGUGACGAUCCAACGGUCGGAUCGUCAAUUCACAUUUUCACCUAACCACGAAUCGAGACGAACUUAGGUUCAAUUACUCAAUUUACGUCCAUCAAUUAUCAAAACUGAACCUAGAACCUUAAACACAUGCUAAGAAUGACAUUGGCGGGCCAUUUUCCAUGCGCUGCCGCACCGGCCACCACUGGUGGCGGUCGGCCGCCCCGACUCGCUGGAAAAUCCAACUAUUUCCAAAAAUUACCAAAAUUUGCAGAUUUGAAGAUCUAAAUGAGUAGAGUAAACUUCAUACCUAAAGACAAGGCCAAUUUGGCCUGGAAGAGCUCCAAUUUUGCCAAAACCGUGAAGAACCCUAGAAUUGGGUGUUUUCAAUUCGACCUUCAAAUCAACUCCACCGUCCAAAUCAAUGCUUGGCCUUUGUUCCAGGUCCUAAGGGAAUGCUAAUGGUGUUAGUAAUUGAAAGAAAACAUUUCAAGAUUUGAAGAAUUUGAAUAAGAAAGUCGCGGCACCCACGGGUGCGUUUUUCACCAAACCACCAUCAAAUUUCAUGAUUUUUUGGGUGAAACAUGAAGAGGGAAGGCCUAGGUGUUGAUUGGGAGUGGUACCUUGAUCCAAUUCGUCGGAAAAUUGAACAAGAACGGCGAGAAACCGCCGGUUUGAAGGCACAGGUCGCACGGGUCAAGGAUGACCCGUUUCCUCCUUUUCCCCCGUUCACCACUCUCCCUCAUUUCCCUCCUUUCUUCUCCCUCUGAUUGGUCCUCCACCUUCUCUUCUUUCUGGUUGGCCCAACUCCUCCCUCUCUCCUGUUCCAAUUGGGCAGCUUGCCCUUCUCUCCUCCUUUCUGUUUAUCCUUUUCUUUUCUUCACAAACAUACACACACAAAAACCUUUCAACAUCUUUUUAUUUUAUUUUAUUUUAUUUUUUAUUUUUUUAUUUCCUUGCAUCCAAGCCAUCCAAAUUUUAAUAAUAAAAUUCAUAAAAUGCCCAAACUUCAAACUUUAAAAUCUUUUUCGUUAUAACUCCAAAUAACGGACCGUCUGCACCCACGCUUCCGUAGCGACAAGUAUUACGAGGAUAUGCCAAGAAAACAAAUCUUAGAUGGCACGACACGACGAUUAACCUCGACUAAUGCGUGUGCCUCAAAGGGCAUUUUUGAAAAAUCCUUUAUUAAAACUUUAAAAACUCUUAAAAUCAGGGACCGGCUGUCACAAGCAUCUUACCUUGUCAAUAAAAUAGAAUGGUGGUUUGACUGGUGUAUAGAGGCUCAACUAAUCAAGGUUUUCCUGAAAUCUUGAAACUUCAUAAGUAAAAAUCUCCAUAUUACCACAUUCAUUGAAAUUCAGUUGCUUAAGUAAUAGCCACUUGGAAACAUACAGGACAGGAGAAAACUCCUACGUUAAGGUAGAUUUUCAAAUCUCACAUAUGCAACAUUUGGUGUGACACCCUACAUGUGUAUUUUAAUUAUUGGACUAGACUAUGUACCGAUUAAUGUUUAAACUUUGUAAUUUAAUCUAUGAUCAAAGUGAUUACUUUUAAUCUUUAUAGUUGAAAGAUUUACCAAAGUGUCAUUUUAAUUAUAGCCAUGGUGAGUUUCUUGAUACUCAUUGUGGGACCAAAAUAUAUAAGGGGAGUUUUGAUGCAUGCCUAGGUUUUGAAUUUUGAGAUUAAACAUUUAUGCCUUUUAGAGUUUUGAUUAAAAAUCUUCCUACAAUUUAGGUGCCACAUGGAUUAGAAGUAGCCUUUUUUAUAAUUUAAAUUACCCAACUUGCCAUUUUAUAAAUAUACCUUUUAAUUCCUAGAUAAUACAUCAAAACUCCUAAAAUCUUGUAGAUAAAUAUUGUAGAAUUUAAUUCCUAUAAAAUGUCUUUCAAAAUACCCAUGAAUGCGACUUGCCAUUAUAUUUAAUAUACCUUUUAAUUUUCUUAGAUAAUAUCUCCAAGCUCCUAAAAUCUUGUAGAUAAAUAUUGUAGUAUUCAAUUUUAAUAAAAAGUCUUUCAAAUUACACAUAAAACCUUGAUUUCUUCUUGGUACAUAUUUGAUAUGUUACUUAAUAUAUCUUCUUGGUACGUAUUUGGUAUGUUUGAACUUUUUUUUUUGUUUUGUAUGUAUUUGGUAUGUUUAUACCAUACUUAGGGUCUCCGUAUUUAGACCUCGUAUAAAUACCGGGGGACAUAAGUGUAAUUAUGUAAUAAAGGAAAGGCCAAAUAUGUAAUAAGUGAGGAGCCAUUAUUCUAUAAAAGGACGCCUUACCCUCACAAUGAGAGGAGGCCAAUUCCUAGGCCCUCUCACCCUCUUACUUUCUUGCAGAUUCACGGUCGGAUUUAAGUUGUUCCAAGACCCCUCCGGUUUUGUGCAUCAACAUUUGGCGCCAUCUGUGGGAAUCGAACAAAAAAACUAUGUCGGUUCUCUUUCAUUUUUUACCUCCGCCAUGGAUUUGCAAAAUCUGCAAAAUCCAAGAAACCAAACACCUACAGAAUGGUAGAGAAGGACCUGGAUAUUUAGGGGAGAUAAGGACCCAGAUCUGCAAAUCCACCGAGAUAGAACCUCUCUCUCUGUCUCUCCCUGUCUCUAUCUCUGUCUCUCUCUCCCUUGUAUUAGCAUACUGCAGCCAUAAACUAGGUACCUCCAUAAUCCUGGGCUGUGACUUCAUAAUGGAGACCAAGUAUUAAACCACAGAGGCCGACUCGGCUUCGCUAUCUGCGCCAAGUACUGCGACUCCAGCUUCACCACCAAGCUCCAGAAGCCCUCCCUCCUCGACUCCCCUGCCAGCAACGGAGGCAUCUCCGUCUCUAUGUCCGCUAACGGCUUGAACCCAUCAUACGAUUUGAGCUCCUUCAAGUUCGACUCCAUCAAGGAAUCCAUCAUCUCUAGGGAGAUGACCAGGCACUACAUGACCGACAUGAUCACCUAUACUGACACCGGCGUCAUCGUAGUAAGUGUUGGCUUCGCCUGACUCUCUUGCGCCUAUGAGCUCAGGAAGAACCCCAACGUUUAGGUCGCCAUAACAGAGCAAUCCGUCAGCCUGGUGGCGGUGCACGGCUUGGUGGCCAACUCUUCUCUACCAUGGAUCCGGAUCCCAAACCCCAUACGACUUCCGGGCGACCGGCGAGAAAAUCCGGUCAAUCAACCCGAACCCAGAAUAGGAUUUUCAUUGGAAACAUCUAUGAGAAGAAGCUGAGAAACUGCAACUGGGCGGACCCAUUGUUGUCUUUGGCCAUGUGGGCAUGGAUGCUCAGUUGGUUCACCCAUCACGCACCACCAAACAACAAAAUAUAUUUUCCUCACCAACGCUAAAGCCAACGCCAACUAACAUAGCCAAAGCACCCAAGCAAUCGAGAACACGAAAAGCAGACGGAAAUGGCGUCACCUGCCGCAAGGAUCACUUUUCGCAUCACCGUUAAAAUCAACCCAGUUCAUCAAGUUCCAAUUCUCACCUGUUUCUGUGAGGUUCAUGAAAAGAGAAGAUGUGGAAGCAAAUCUCUUAGAGCUCAAAAGAAAAGUGGACUCAUCAUUUCUCGGAGAAAGAGGUGCUAUAAUUUACACCGGAGAUCUAAAGUGGGUUGUUAGUGAUGAGGAGAGAGAUCAAAACCAAAACUCUGGUGGGUAUUAUAGCCCAGUUGAGCAUUUGGUUUCAGAGAUUGCAAGGCUGGUCUCUUCAGAUAAUUCAAUCACUAGAUCAAGGGGGAAGGCGUGGGUGAUGGGAACUGCAAGUUACCAAACACAUAUGAGGUGCCAAAUUAGGCAGCCACCUCUUGAGAUUCAAUGGUAUCUCCAAGCUGUUUCUGUUCCUUCUGGUGGUUUUCGUCUCUCCCUUCAUGCUUCCAGGUGAAAUCCAAUGGACGAGAAUAACCCGCCUCGGGCGUCACGUAACCACUACUCCUUCCAUUCCCGAAGACAUCGCAGGAGAAGCAGAGGAGCUGCCGUCCCUCCCCGGAAACCAAUUUUACUUUGUUUCCUCUGUCACUUCCCAGCUCGUCCUUGACCGCAUUAUGUCACAAUCUGUGAGAGAUGAAGUGUCUUCAUUGACAUCAAGGAGGUUUUCACAUAGCAGUGGACCUCUGAAUAAUGGUGGUUCUCUAACAGAGAUGGAUAGCCCUCCAGUCUCACCCUAUGAUGAGUUCGACGACGUCGUUAAGUAUUUUUGAACCCACAACAGCAUACAAAACCUAUUAAACGGCAAGUCCAUGCAGCGAUUUCAGUUGCUGCGGUGGUUUCAGUAGCUGCAGCGAUUUCAGUUGCUAUGAUGGACGUUGUGAUAUCGACGGUGAGUUUCCUGCAAACUGCAGACCAAACCAAGAUCAUUGCAGCCAUCAAAGAAGCUGGCAAUAUCAAGAGAUUUUUUUUUCCCGUCGAAAUUUGGAAACCAAAACCACAACCGCCAGAUUUGAUAUUCACGCCGCCGUUGCCGUCAAACUUUGGCUGGAAAUCUACUAGAGUCCGAUUCAAGCAGGCUGCAAGUGUUCACAUUUCUAGUGAGAACAGUAACAUGGAUAAGCAGCAGGAGGAACCCACUCUGAAAACUGGUAGCGCACAGACUGACAGAGACAAAGACGCACUGGAAAGCAAAAGGAAAAGAAAAAAAGAAAAAGAAAAAUGAGGAGUGAUGGGCACGACCAAGCUGUCCAAGAAAAGCAAGUGGUUUGCAAAACAAAAGAUGCCUUACAAAUCAACAUGGGUGGACAAUGAAGGAGCAGGGAGGACAGCAAAAGCAAGGAAUAAACACUCCACCAGAAUGAUGUGGUUUACUUUCCUUAUUUUUGAAUGAUGUAAUUUAUUUUUCGUAUUUUUCGAAGAUAUCUGUAUAACCCCAUCAGAGGGUAAUAAAAAAAAGGGCAAAACCCAAAAUAAAUGGGCUGGAAUGUUAUGUGGAGGGCGAAGACCCAUAACCCCAAAAUAGUACCAACCAAGUGACCAAAAGUACGCCCAGUACUACAAAAAAUUAUUCGGCACUCUGCCGCUAUUGUUGCCAACCAGGUGAUCAAAAGUACGCCCAAUACUCCAAAUUAUUCGGCAGCCUACUGCUAUUAUCACCAACCAGGUGAUCAAAAGUACGCCCAGUACUUCAAAUUAUACAUGAGCAUUACUCAUGUUAAUCAUACAUAAACAUUCAUGAGCAUUACUCAUAUCAAUCAUACAUAAACAUUCAUGAGCAUCACUCAUGUCAACAUUCAUGAGCAUCACUCAUGUUAGCAUCCAUGAGCAUUACUCAUGUCAUUCAACAUAAACAUUCAUGAGCAUCACUCAUGUCAAUCAGCUUCAAAAGUUUCAUUUAUAGAGCUCUAGCUUCAAAAGCUUCAAUUACAAAAGCUCUAGCUUCAAAAGAUUCAAUUACAGAGCUAUAGCUUCAAAAGCUUCAUUUACAAAAGCUCUAGCUUCAAAAGCUUCAUUCAUAGAGCUCUAGCUUCAAAAGCUUCAUUUAUAUAGCUCCAGCUUCAAAAGCUUCAUUUACAAAGCUCCAGCUUCAAAAGCUUCAUUUAUAUAGCUCCAGCUUCAAAAGCUUCAUUUACAAAGCUCCAGCUUCAAAAGCUUCAUUUACAGAGCUUUACCUUCAAAAGCUUUAUUUACAAAAGCUCUAGCUUCAUAAGCUUCAUUUACAGAGCUCCAGCUUCAAAGCUUCACUUGCAAAGCUUCACCUACAAAGCUUCAGUGCAGGGUAUACAAAUACCGCAUCUGAACAACCGCCAUUUCGGCCCAUACAUGGAUUCAAUUUGAAGUCUCCAGCCAACAGAUUCUAUUGACCGAAGACUUAGGGGACUACACUAUACACCAUAUAUUAGGCCUCAACUGGGCCACAUGAAAAAUACUUGGGGGACUCUAGCCCAUCAUGUAUGUAUUGAGGAGCGAGCUCUUAUUCUAUAAAAGGGACUCCCUCACCAUCAUUAGAGAGCAUCAACUCUAGCCCAUCAUUCAUGUAUUGAGAAGCGAGCCCUUAUUCUAUAAAAGGGACUCCCUCACCUUCAACGCCACAAGCCGAGCCAACCAAGGCAACAUGAGCCACGAGCCGAGCAGCCUCACAGCAUGUGCUACUUCUAGUUGAGCAUCAUUUCCGAUUAAGCAUCGCCUCAUAUCGAGCAUUAGUUCAAGACAACAUCUAGUUACUUUGGCCCACACAUGGACUGAAUUUCAAGUCUCCAGCCAAAAGACUCUCUUGACUGAAGACUUGGGGGACUACUGUUUAUACCAUACCAUACUUAGGGCAUUCGUAUUUAGACCUCGUAUAAAUACUCAGGGGACUUAAGUGUAAUUAUGUAAUAAAGGAAAGGGCAAAUAUGUAAUAAGUGAGGAACCCUUAUUCUAUAAAUGGACCCCUCACCCUCACAAUGAGAGGAGGCCAAUUCCUAGGCCCUUUCACCCUCAGAAGCUCUGUCUCACAAUCUUAUCAGAAAUAUCAUAAUCAGUGUGGAUGUAGCCCAAACAUUGGGGUGAACCAUGAUACAUUUUGUGUUAUUUACUUUCUUGCAGAUUCACGGUCGGAUUUACGUUGUUCCAAGACCCCUCCGGUUUUGUGCAUCAACAUGGUACGUUUAUAUUUAUUUAAAAAAAAAACAUAUUUGGUACGUUACUUUAUAUAUGUUCUUGGUACUUAUUUAGUAUGUUCAUAUUUCUUUUUUGUAUGUAUUUGGUACAUUUAUAUAUCUUAUUUUGGUAUGUUUAUAUUUAUUUAAGAAAACAUAUUUGGUACGUUACUUUAUAUAUCUUCUUAGUACAUAUUCCAUACGUUUAAAUAUAUUAUCUGAAUGUACCAGCCUCAAGCCUCCGAAAAUAGAGAAUACGUUUAAUUAUCUCACAUGACAUCAAUAUAAACUAAUGAAAACAACCACUAAUUGAAAUGGAUAAGUCCAUUCAAAAUUCAAAAUUCAAAAUUCAAAAAUAAGGAUCACAUAAUUCUAACGUGGGAGAAGAAACUAUACGGCUUAAACGUGAGAGAAGAAACUGGCUUCCUAAAAAAAAGGCCACGUACAAAAAUAUAUCAACCUAAAAAGAUAUUUAUGGAAUUUAAUAAUUAACAUUUUAAAUUAAAAAAACACAAUAAUUGUCACAUCCGACCCGGGGCCAUUAUGAGAUCCCGCAUCGCCUAGGGGAGUGGAUUAUCUAUGGCUUAUAUGUACAUACCCACCUCCAAUUAGCACGAGACCUUUUGGGAGCUCACUGGCUUCAGGUUCCGUAGGAACUCUGAAGUGAAGCGAGAAAGGGGCCAAAGCAUUCCCAUAAGUGGUGACCCACUGGGAAGUUCUAUUCGCGUGAGUUCCCAGAAACAAAACCUUGAGGGCGUGGUCGGGGCCCAAAGCGGACAAUAUCGUGCUAGGGCGGAGUCGAGCCCGGGAUGUAGUAGGGGCCUGCGUCGGGAUGUGACAAUUUGGUAUCAGAGCUAAUCCCUGGUCGGAAGUGUGCCGACGAGGACAUCGAGCCUCUAAGGGGGGUGGAGUGAAAUCCUACAUCGCCCAAGGGAGUGGAUCCUCUAUGCCUUAUAUGUACAUACCCACCUCCAAUUAGCACGAGGUCUUUUAGGAGCUCAUUGGCUUUGGGUUCCGUAAGAAUUCUGAAGUUAAACGAGAAAGGGGCCAGAGCAUUCCCAAGAUAGGUGACCCACUGGGAAGUUUUACUCACGUGAGUUCCUAGAAACAAAAUCGUGAGGACGUGGUCGGGGCCCAAAGCAGACACUAUCGUGCUAUGGCGGAGUCAAGCCUGGGAUGUGGUGGGAGCCUGGUCGGAAUGAGACAAUAAUUACAUGUAAUCUAAAUAAAUAUAAAAAUGUUGACAUGACUAUUGUUUAGGCAUCCUAAUCAAAUUUCAAAAUAAAACCAAUGUUUAAUUUAAAGAGUAUUAAAAAAGUACAAGAGAUUCUAAUUUUCCCAAUACAUAAUAGAUAAAUAAAAUACAUUUAUGUAAGAAGGGGGGACCUUUCUUUCAUUCUCUCCACUAAUUCUCUCAGCUCUCUUAAAAAUUAAAAAAAUUGAAAACUAAUGAAAAAAUUUUGAAAAUUUUGAAUUUUAACGAUAAGGAUAUAUUAAUGGAUAAAAUAAAUAGUAUCAUAUUUAAUUUUUUAAUGUAAAAAUAUAAUUUUUUGUUAAAAUGAGUUGUACUAACCUUUUCGUUAAAACUCCAUUAAAAAAAAAAACAACCAUGGAGGGAGUCGAAGACGCGGCAUCGCUGAUCAACUCCGCCAACACUCCGCUGCCGCCGUUUCUGAACAAAAUCUACGAUAUGGUGGAUGAGCCCUCCACCGACACCUUUGUCUCCCUCCUGGAGCAACGGCAACAACAGCUUCGGCGUCUGGAACGUCCCUGAGUUCUCGAGGGACCUCCUGCCCAAGUAUUUCAAGCACAGAAAUUCUGUAACUUCGUCAGGCAGUUGAAUACUUAUGUGGGUAUUUCUUCCCUUUCCUAAAUUUUGGUUCUUUCGUGCUUUUUCUGCAUUUGAUUCUUGUUUUCGCGGUGAUUCCGGUCGGAACUGGGAAAUUCGGAGUGGUUACUCGGGAUCAAUGUUCAAUUAGGUUUUGCAAUUGUUAUUUUGGCAAAAGGGUUAUCGAAUUUGAGGUUGUAAAUUGUGAAGAUAAAUUAUGUUUGUUGAAUUGUAUACUUUGUCAUUCAUUGGGUUCCUUAGGUCUAGUCGAUCAUGUAAAAGUGAUUUCAAUUUGUGGUGUUUGUUCUGAACCAGGUGAAAACCUGGAAGGAAAAAGGACAUAAAGAGGUCAGAACUACAUUGAGAUAUAAAAUUUGAGCCGACUACUUUCGUGCAAAUUGCCUUGUUUUACGUGCUUCUUGGAUAAAUUUGUUCCAUUGCAUUGCUUCUUCUUAUUGUAGUAACUAUGAGAAAAGGGCAAGCAAAACCUACUCCUAACAAGUUGCUGGCUUUUCAGCCGUGCAAGUUGUGCUUAUUAUGCUGUGAGGGAAGAUCCUUUACAUUGAUGAAGAUAUUUUCUGAAAUGAUUGGUAGAUGUUUUCUCAAAAGAUUUCAGUUGAAAUACCAAUUGUAGUGACUGUCAUUGCCAUAUCCGCAAGGUCUCUAGAUUAUUCAAUGUGCCCAUCGUUCUUGGCACAAGGAUAUUUAUUAGACUCUGGCAUCUGUAACUUUAUCCAUCGAUCAUACCUUCACCCUCCAAGCUUGAUGAAACAUUAGGUGAAAUCAGUCCAAGUCCAGAGCAACCACUCAAAUUCAAGAUCGUGCAUUCUAACACUUUGAUCAUCAUAACCGUCUUUGAAUCAAUGAAUGAAAUGCAUUUCGUGCCUCUUCCACAGUAUCGACAAUUUUAAACAACUCUAAACCCAUAAUAUAUAUCAAACCAGACUCUGGACAAUGCCGAACAAUUCCUCAAGCACUCGGGCAAAUACCCUAUUAGAUUGUUAUUGUUCACUUUGAAACUUGCAAAGCAAAUCUGCUACACAACUCCGGUGACAGUUACAAAAACCAAGCUCAAAAGCGAUUGGAAGAGUUUAAGGAAUUCUCACCAAGGUCAAGGUAAUGAAGUUUCCGGAGUUCGCCUAUUUCGAUGGAAUUUUCCCCAUAAUCUGUUUUUUUUUCCCGUUUGUACAUUUGGUUCAAGUCUCUCUGUUUAUUGUUUUGUUUGUUGUCGUCUGUGAGGAUGGUUUUUUAUUGUUUGCGUUGUGUCUUGCAGGAUUCAUAGAUAAUAGAUUUGGCAUGCGCUGCCAGGCGUGUAACUGUGUAAAGACACUCUCUUCGUUUCAUUUAAAACGGUACAUCGACUAUUUCGAUGAAAUUCUCUGUUUGUGCCAUGGCUGCUGAGGGUAUUUUCCCCACUUAUAUUAUGUCUUUCUUUUGUUUAUCUGCGGCUUUCAUGCUGAAUUAUUGCUCUUUGAAUUGUUUUGAGGAUAACCAAUUGGUCAAAUUGUUCAAAUUUUGGAUUUCAGUGACCUUUUGUGUGCAUUUUUGGUUUGGUUCUUAAUUGAAAUGAAUCGAAUUGAAUAUUUGUAACCAAAAUAAUUGAUUUUUAAAAUUGCCCAAAAUUUUCAAAUUUGGUAAUUUAGUGUGCUUUUAUGUGCAGUUCUGGUUUGUUUCUUAUUUGAAAUGAAUUGAAACGAAUUAAAUAUUCAUUAAGCCUUUAUGCACAUUUCUGGUUUAAUCCAUUAUUCUAACACAUACAAUAUUUAUAAUUUUUCACCACUCAAAUGCAUCAAUGUUUACAGAAAUCACACAAGCAUUAUUUCCCAAACACCAAAACUGAAAAUGUAGCGAAUAAAGCCUCAAAUACAAAUCACACUAUCACGACGAAACACACAAGUCAAUACAAGCAUAACAUGACGUGGAAUAUGAUUCAGUGCCUUCUCAAAUUGCACAGAGAAUAGUUAGAGCAAGUAACAAGGAAAAUCAGAGUGCCUUCCUGUCUGUUCUCCAGGCUAAUAUUUCUUCCUUGAAAAGGAAAAACAAAAGGCAGAGGAAAAUAACGAACAAACACGCAAUUGCACACAAUCGGAAAACCUUAACACGCUAGGCAAAAGAUGAGGAUUCCUUUUUGGCAGAGAGUCCUGCAAUUGUAACAUCUACAUUUGAAUCUGCAAUAAUCAGGUGCUCCUGUAGAAAUAUAUAUUUCGUUGACGAAAUAAACACUUAAAUUGUUCAGUAUGAAAUCUGAUUGAACAACUAUGAAUAAGAUGAAUAAAUCAGACUUCUAAAUUUUACGGUUCAAGGUUCAGAAAAAGCUGAAAAAUUGGAGAGUGAAAUUAAUAGUUGUUUAAUUAGUGAAUGAAGUACUUACAGUUUGAUCAUGAUCAUUCUCCUCUGAAUCACUUAGCAUCGGUACAUCAUCAAUUUCCUCUGCCAUUUGUAAUCUUUCUGGUCUUGGAUCACUUUGGAGUAACCCAUCAGAAGAAAUCUUUAAGUCGAUCAGCUGGCAGUCCUCGACAAUCAAAGUUUUUAAGGAUGGGACUUUGAAAAUGCAAUUUCCCCUGCAAAAGCCUUGCAAACUUGGUAGACCAGAAAGCUUCAAAUGUUGCAAGCAACUGAAAGUAAUCUCAUUUUCUGGAUCAUCUUCGUUGGUCGCUACUAUUUCUACCAUUCUUUGACAGGACACAACUUCCAACCCCAUGAGUUGCUGCAAAUUCUUAGCCACAGAAUAAGGUUUUAAGUAUUGCAGUCCGUGACAACUCCGUAUGGUCAAAAAGGUUAGAUUCCGAAAGGAUAUCAAAGUUGAAGCUAGAUUCUCUAAUCUACCACAUUUGAUCAGCCUUAGAACUUCCAAGUUUGGAAGAACAGGGCCCCCUGGUUGGGAGUUUUCCAUUCCUAGAUGAAUCAGCUCCGGCAUUUUGGUGAGCUGCAAAACCUUUACACGUGGGAGGAUCUCAACUUCAUGUGUUUCCCCUCUACUACUUCCUUGGUGGUCGUGGACAAAUAAUUCUUUCCAAGGAGCAGAGAGCACAACAAGCAUUUCAGUAUUCUGUAAAUUCUCAAAGAAAACAUCUGACUUGGGAUGUGAAGUAGCAAAAAGAAUUGUCUUUACUUUACUCAACAACUCUGUCGGGAGUGGACCAUACCGUUCAUACCAAAUCUCCGUGUUCCGGUCCAACAUCAACACUUCCAAGUUGAGGAAUGACUUACCCUGAAAUAUAAUCAACAAUAAGAGCAUACUUUAAAAUAUUUUGAAAAACUGGACAAAACAUAAUAACUUUAAUAUUAAAAAGGUAAUAAAUGUAUUUACUUGAUGGUGUAUGUUAAACUAGUAUGUAAAAAUCACAUAAAAUUUCGAAUAUCAAAAGAGUUGUGUACAAGUAUGGUUACCUUCUCAAUUAAAAAGAAAGGUUGUUCCUUUGGUAUUGGGUGGCCCAACUUAAACUUGUCUUGAUAUGUUGAAAAUUCAACAGCAAAAAUUUUCACACCACCACAUUUCUUGAACUUUAAUAUGUUGAGUGAUGGCCAAUUAGAAACAUGCAGUCCUGGAUAGAAACUCCGAAGUUGGGGUAGAUUAUCAAAUUCCAUAUUUGUUACUUUAGGGAACUCGAACUCCUCGUAUGUCGUUUGUGGUCCUUCUUCCUUCACAACAAUUUCCUCCAUUAAACCACAAUUCUUGACACUGAAAUUGUUUAGCUGCUUAAGAUCUUUGGUCACUGAGGUGGGAAAUACAUUUUUCAAACUCUCACAUGAGUCUAUCCAAACUGAGUAUAGAUUUGGGCACUCAAAACGGUUCAAACUGAAUAUAGAUGUGUCAUAUACCACCUGUAGUGACUGGCAAUGCAUUAUUCGUAAUAACUCUAGAGCAUUCAAUCUACCCAUGAUACUUGGCCCAAAUAUAUUAAUUAGACUGUGGCAUCUACGAACAUCCAUAAUUCUGAGCUUGCCAAAAGAAUCUGAAUGAAGUUGGUUGUGGAAUAUUGUCUUCAAUUUAGGUAAGUCCUGUAUCCACAAUACCACCAAGCUAGGAAAUCCUACCUGUCAAAUAUUCAUUUUAGACCUUGUGAACAAACCUUUCUUCACAAGAGUGGGACGCAUGCAUAAGUUAGAAAUAAAAGCAUAAAGAAAAGAAGUGAACUUAUAAUUCACCUUUUCAUCAAAGAGCUCAAUAUCUCUUUCUUCUUUGUUGGUUGUAAUAUUUUCACUCUUAGCAUCAAAGAUGAAAGUCUGCAGUUUAGUACAAUUGUCUAGAUUCAGAUACGCCAAAGACGGAAAUUUAAUGUAACUUCCUGAGCUGAAUCUAGCAAGGUUUGGAAGAUGUUGUAACUCUAGAUGGCUUAGCUUAUCAAACAUGUCAUCUGUUUUCUCCUCAUUUCCCACUAUCUCUUCCAUGAUUUGACAAUUAGAUAUUUUGAGAUUUUUGAGUUGUCCAAGACAUUUAGCCAUGGAACUCGAAAACAAAAAUCUUAAACUAUCACAUUGAUGCACAAUCAAGGUUGUUAAGUUGGGCAUCUUAACCUGCAUAGCACAUAACAAAAUUCAUGUUUAUUUAAGAAAAUUACAAUUUACAUCGUUGUUAGCCGUAUAUAUUCUAAAUGGUUAGAUAUAAAGUAAAUGUCAUAUACUUAAAAAGAAAGCUACUAGGCUACUAGACAGAUGCAUGUCCUUGUACUUUCAUUAAUUAGCAAAGAACAAACUGAAGUAAAAAACCAUCUGAAAAAAAAUAUAUAUAGGGCCAAAAUUAUGUUAAUUUAAUUUUAAAUUUAAACAUUUUUGUUUUCGACAAAACAAAAACCUAUUUUAUUUUUAAAUUGAUACCAAAAACACAUUAUUGUGAAAGAUCAUUAUGGUAAGUGGUGAAUCAAUCAUCCUAUUACUUAAAGCCGGGUUCAAAUUUUCUAUACCUAAAAUAAGUGUGGCUUUUUGACAAAAAAAAAAGAAAAAAUAAAUAAAGUAUGAUCUCUUUAUGACACGUGUCAAUACUUGACACUUGUACACAAACGUAACCUUAACAUAACUCUAGCAAAAGUUAAGAAAAAGAAGCCGCCCAACCUCCUCUCUCUUCCCCAAACACAACAGCAGCAAUGGCAAUUGCAUCUCCUUCACACAUUAAAUCCUUAAAUCAAACCCAAAAGCCUCGCCCUUCAAUUUAAUUGCUCCUUCAAACUAUAGGGGACGACCAAAUUUGGGAAGAUUGAAGAAUAAAUCCUUUUUGGUGCAAAAUUUGUUGAAUUUACACCCUUGUCGAUCGAGAGUGAUCUCGACGUCACCAUCGACGAUCUCCUAUUGCAAAUCCUUGGGGUCCUUGCCGUUGACCGUGCAGCCCACCGAGAUGUAGGUUCCAAGAAUCUCCUUCACCGUUCCCGCGAGCUCCUUCGGCCAUGGAUCUGUUCCUCAUAACCGUGGUGAUCUCGAUGACGUCAUCAAGGGAGAUGCUGCCGCUGUACUUGAAGAGGUGGCGUUGAUUGGUGGCGGUGAUUGGUGGCGUUGGGAGGGAAGGAAGGAAGGGGAUGGGAGAGAUACCCAGUACGCUGGGCUGCGCUCUGAUUUUUUAUUUUAUUGGGAGUUAACGCCGUUAGGUUUAGUUGAGUAAAUGGACAGAUGUCAAAAUUGCAUGAAAGUCAGAGGUGUCACAUGCAUAAAUGGGUGCACAAGAUUUGACUUGUUAGUUGAAUUUCAAUAGUUGAAUACCGUGGGUUAUCAAAACCUGAUAACUUAAAUAUAUCAUUUAAAUGGUUUUGGCUCAUUGAAAAAAUAAAUCUUAAAUCUUAAAAAGGAAUCUUAAAAAAAAAACCAUGGGUUAUCAAAAUAAAUCUUAAAAAGAAAUUAAAAAUUCGAAGAAGAAAACUACUUGGAGAAAGAAUCAUGCAACCAUUUUGCUAGAAAAAUAACAGAGAAAGUACCUCUCCAUUACUGAAAAGUCUCGGUGGUCCACCAACUUCUCCCUCCAAAACGAUUUCGUCGGCAUCUGUACCAAUCGUUCGCUUGUCUUUGGAAAAGAAACCAAUAAGCUUCGGUAGAUUCCGAAGUGUCAAAGAUUUUAACUUUUGAAAGGGCUCGCCUACAAGUUGGCCAUAACAUACACUUUCCAAAGUCACAAGGUCUUCAAGAGUUAGAGAUUCCAGGUUGGGGAAGGUAUUAUGAGAAUAACUCCAACUGACGAAGUUAAUGACAUAUGUAACUUCGUCGUUGUUUUGGACAUGGAGACACUUCAGUUGUUCCACAGCAUCACUGUCAAAUAGAAAAGGAAAUAAUAUUCCCACUCUCCUUCCCAUCCAAGUACAAUUGCUCACAUCUCUUUACCAGCACUUUAAUACCUCGGUCGAAUUGAUUUCUCCUGGUGAGACUUCAGUUUUAGCAUGUUAGAGGAGGUUCCGUACGUGUCAGGAUACUCCCAACAAUCACCGAUAAGUAUGUUGUAUCUUUCCAACUUAUCGGAGAACAAGUCGGUGGAAGAAGGUCAGCAUCUGGAACAUGUAUGUCUAAUGCAGUUAGUUCAGCCAAGUGCUUCAGCUCUGAACAGUAGCAUUACUUCCUCCGCUAGUGGGACCUUCACCCUCCCAUUGCUUAAAGCUUUUUAUUCCAUCCUCAAGUCUAGUUCUUGUCAAGCUUGAUAUAACACCAGUGUAAGAUCAGAACAAGUUCAGACAACCGGUCAAAUCCAAUAAUUGUAGCCUUGUCAAUUGCCCUAUUUCUUUGGCAACUUUUUAAUCUUGGACUUUAGAGGCUAAGAAUUUUCAAGUUUUGUUAGCUUCCAAACAAGAGUUAUGUUACCAACUCGCAUUGAUCUAAGCACAAUGUGUGGAGAUGCUUUAGGAUUGAAGAGAUGGAGGUAGUGACUGAAUACUGAAUCUGGUUACAUCCAGCAUUUGAUUCUUCAUCCCUUCAAAAAUUUCUUGGGAUUUCGUGAGUGCCAAUAUACCAAUAUCCAGGAUCACAAUUUUAAAUUCUGGGCAUUCCCAAGACAAGGAAGCCCUGGGGAUACAACGUUUUAAGGAAUCCUUGUGCAUUUCAAGGAAAUCUCAGUUGGCCAUUCUUUCACCCAUCUCCAUAUGCUCAUGAAAAGGCGUUUUUAGUUCAAUCCGGACGAACACUCGUACAAGUAAUGCAUUCUAACAGUGUCAUCGUCAUAGCUGUCCUGCAAUAGCAAGAAAUUUUUAAUUUUUUUAACCAUUACAUCAAGAAGUCCGUGCCUCUUCCACUGUCUCAACAUUUUUUAUCAAANAGCAUCACUGUCAAAUAGAAAGGAAAUAAUAUUCCCACUCUCCUUCCCAUCCAAGUACAAUUGCUCACAUCUCUUUACCAGCAACUUUAUACCUCGGUCGAAUUGAUUUCUCCUGGUGAGCUUCAGUUUUAGCAUGUUAGAGGAGGUUCCGUACGUGUCAGGAUACUCCCAACAAUCACCGAUAAGUAUGUUGUAUCUUUCCAACUUAUCGGAGAACAAGUUCGGUGGAAGAAGGUCAGCAUCUGGAACAUGUAUGUCUAAUGCAG